RNAcentral lists this small RNA (122 nucleotides) under Salmonella enterica. RNAcentral's name for it is "partial RtT sRNA". It matches the Rfam family "RtT RNA". Rfam says of the family: This family represents a bacterial cis-regulatory element known as RtT RNA. Lineage: Bacteria; Pseudomonadati; Pseudomonadota; Gammaproteobacteria; Enterobacterales; Enterobacteriaceae. RNAcentral also lists the same sequence under 1 other name. The record is from RNAcentral.
AUAUCUCUCUGUACGGGAAGGAUGAGAAGCUUCGACCAAGGUUCGAUUCGAGCGCAGCGAGAAAGCGUUGCCGCAGGCAACGACCCGAAGGGCGAAGCGCGCAGCGCUGAGUCAUCCUUCCC